AGCGUAGGCGGAUUUUUAAGCGAGAUGUGAAAUACUCGGGCUUAACCUGAGUGCUGCAUUUCAAACUGGAAGUCUAGAGUGCAGGAGAGGAGAAGGGAAUUCCUAGUGUAGCGGUGAAAUGCGUAGAGAUUAGGAAGAACACCAGUGGCGAAGGCGCUUCUCUGGACUGUAACUGACGCUGAGGCUCGAAAGCGUGGGAGCAAACA
Molecule: ribosomal RNA, 206 nt
Filed under: uncultured bacterium
Lineage: Bacteria
Description: partial 16S ribosomal RNA
Rfam family: Bacterial small subunit ribosomal RNA
Source: RNAcentral